CGGAGCUUGCUCUGUGGGAUCAGUGGCGAACGGGUGAGUAACACGUGAGCAACCUGCCCCUGACUCUGGGAUAAGCGCUGGAAACGGCGUCUAAUACUGGAUAUGUGACGUGACCGCAUGGUCUGCGUCUGGAAAGAAUUUCGGUUGGGGAUGGGCUCGCGGCCUAUCAGCUUGUUGGUGAGGUAAUGGCUCACCAAGGCGUCGACGGGUAGCCGGCCUGAGAGGGUGACCGGCCACACUGGGACUGAGACACGGCCCAGACUCCUACGGGAGGCAGCAGUGGGGAAUAUUGCACAAUGGGCGCAAGCCUGAUGCAGCAACGCCGCGUGAGGGACGACGGCCUUCGGGUUGUAAACCUCUUUUAGCAGGGAAGAAGCGAAAGUGACGGUACCUGCAGAAAAAGCGCCGGCUAACUACGUGCCAGCAGCCGCGGUAAUACGUAGGGCGCAAGCGUUAUCCGGAAUUAUUGGGCGUAAAGAGCUCGUAGGCGGUUUGUCGCGUCUGCUGUGAAAUCCGGAGGCUCAACCUCCGGCCUGCAGUGGGUACGGGCAGACUAGAGUGCGGUAGGGGAGAUUGGAAUUCCUGGUGUAGCGGUGGAAUGCGCAGAUAUCAGGAGGAACACCGAUGGCGAAGGCAGAUCUCUGGGCCGUAACUGACGCUGAGGAGCGAAAGGGUGGGGAGCAAACAGGCUUAGAUACCCUGGUAGUCCACCCCGUAAACGUUGGGAACUAGUUGUGGGGUCCAUUCCACGGAUUCCGUGACGCAGCUAACGCAUUAAGUUCCCCGCCUGGGGAGUACGGCCGCAAGGCUAAAACUCAAAGGAAUUGACGGGGACCCGCACAAGCGGCGGAGCAUGCGGAUUAAUUCGAUGCAACGCGAAGAACCUUACCAAGGCUUGACAUAUACGAGAACGGGCCAGAAAUGGUCAACUCUUUGGACACUCGUAAACAGGUGGUGCAUGGUUGUCGUCAGCUCGUGUCGUGAGAUGUUGGGUUAAGUCCCGCAACGAGCGCAACCCUCGUUCUAUGUUGCCAGCACGUAAUGGUUGGGAACUCAUGGGAUACUGCCGGGGUCAACUCGGAAGGAAGGUUGGGGAUGACGUCAAAUCAUCAUGCCCCUU
Molecule: ribosomal RNA, 1120 nt
Filed under: uncultured Microbacterium sp.
Lineage: Bacteria; Bacillati; Actinomycetota; Actinomycetes; Micrococcales; Microbacteriaceae
Description: bacterial SSU rRNA
Rfam family: Bacterial small subunit ribosomal RNA
Source: RNAcentral